GACGAACGCUGGCGGCGUGCUUAACACAUGCAAGUCGAACGGAAAGGCCCCUUUGGGGGUACUCGAGUGGCGAACGGGUGAGUAACACGUGAGUAACCUGCCCUUGACUUCGGGAUAACUUCAGGAAACUGGGGCUAAUACCGGAUAGGAAUCCUUGCUGCAUGGUGGGGGUUGAAAGCUUCGGCGGUUUUGGAUGGACUCGCGGCUUAUCAGCUUGUUGGUGGGGUAGUGGCUUACCAAGGCUUUGACGGGUAGCCGGCCUGAGAGGGCGACCGGCCACAUUGGGACUGAGAUACGGCCCAGACUCCUACGGGAGGCAGCAGUGGGGAAUAUUGCACAAUGGGCGGAAGCCUGAUGCAGCAACGCCGCGUGCGGGAUGACGGCCUUCGGGUUGUAAACCGCUUUCAGCAGGGGCGAAGCUUGUGGUGACGGUACCUGCAGAAGAAGCACCGGCUAACUACGUG
RNAcentral lists this ribosomal RNA (464 nucleotides) under uncultured bacterium. RNAcentral's name for it is "partial 16S ribosomal RNA". It matches the Rfam family "Bacterial small subunit ribosomal RNA", at positions 28 to 507 of the family's 1533-position model. The record is from RNAcentral.